CACUGUAAAAAAUAACACUACAUCUUACUGCAGUAACACAAGUAUACUUUACUUACUAUAGGCUGACCUAGUGUUCUUACUAGAGUAAUAUUAGUAAUGUGCCAAACUUGCAACAAUGGGGUCUAAAACUUGAGAUACACGAGUAAGCUUCACAACUCAGACCUGAGUAAACUGGACUCACGCAGUGCACAUGCGCACAGUUAGCAGAGGGAGCAUUCUGGAUUCCACAGCCAACGGUCGGCAGUGUUACGGUGUGGCUGACUUUUGGGAUGGGAGUGUAAUGCAGCUUCACCAGUGACUUGCUCUGUCCGUUGGAAAACUGAAAAUGCAGAGCAAUGAACUGGACAUGUAAGUUGUGCUUGUUUGGAUGUGAAGUCAGAGGUCAGUUGCUCAAACACUACUGAUUGAAACAUGGAGGUUACAC
This is a long non-coding RNA of Alosa sapidissima (American shad), 424 nucleotides long. RefSeq lists it as uncharacterized. The transcript has 2 exons. The record is from RefSeq and is a predicted model, not a curated record. Lineage: Eukaryota; Metazoa; Chordata; Actinopteri; Clupeiformes; Clupeidae.